Molecule: ribosomal RNA, 253 nt
Filed under: uncultured bacterium
Lineage: Bacteria
Description: partial 16S ribosomal RNA
Rfam family: Bacterial small subunit ribosomal RNA
Source: RNAcentral
UACGUAGGGUGCAAGCGUUAAUCGGAAUUACUGGGCGUAAGGCGUGCGCAGGCGGUUCGCUAAGACCGAUGUGAAAUCCCCGGGCUUAACCUGGGAACUGCAUUGGUGACUGGCGGGCUAGAGUAUGGCAGAGGGGGGUAGAAUUCCACGUGUAGCAGUGAAAUGCGUAGAGAUGUGGAGGAAUACCGAUGGCGAAGGCAGCCCCCUGGGCCAAUACUGACGCUCAUGCACGAAAGCGUGGGGAGCAAACAGG